GACGAACGCUGGCGGCGUGCUUAACACAUGCAAGUCGAACGAGAAUCGGUGGAUAGAGGCUUCGGCCAAUUGAAAUCGAGGACAGUGGCGGACGGGUGAGUAACGCGUGAGGAACCUGCCUUUCAGAGGGGGACAACAGUUGGAAACGACUGCUAAUACCGCAUAACGCAUAGGGGUCGCAUGAUUCUUAUGCCAAAGAUUUAUCGCUGAAAGGUGGCCUCGCGUCUGAUUAGCUAGUUGGUGAGGUAACGGCCCACCAAGGCGACGAUCAGUAGCCGGACUGAGAGGUUGAACGGCCACAUUGGGACUGAGAUACGGCCCAGACUCCUACGGGAGGCAGCAGUGGGGAAUAUUGGGCAAUGGGGGAAACCCGUGACCCAGCAACGCCGCGUGAAGGAAGAAGGCC
Molecule: ribosomal RNA, 406 nt
Filed under: uncultured bacterium
Lineage: Bacteria
Description: bacterial SSU rRNA
Rfam family: Bacterial small subunit ribosomal RNA
Source: RNAcentral